Molecule: transfer RNA, 70 nt
Filed under: Marmota monax (woodchuck)
Lineage: Eukaryota; Metazoa; Chordata; Mammalia; Rodentia; Sciuridae
Also listed under: 2 other names
Rfam family: tRNA
About the family: Transfer RNA (tRNA) molecules are approximately 80 nucleotides in length.
Source: Rfam by way of RNAcentral
GAGGAUGUAGCUUAGUGAUAAAGCACUUGUUUAGUAUUCCAAGGGCCUGGGUUCAAACCCCAGCACCUCA